UGAAAAUGGUGCCACCCAGCUACCCAGUCUCCAGUAUCGGAACUCUGUUCUCUCGAAUCAGCAGUUACACACCUGUCCUCUGUCUUCAGUUUUUGUCCACUCCCUGCAUUUUCCCUGUCAGUGACCAGGCCCUAGGCAGCACCUCUCUCCCAAGUUUUGUCUCAGAUGCGGCUGUUUUCCCUGGCCCCUUAUUUCUGAAGGACUGCGGCUUUGACGUGUUCUGCCCCUCUGUGGGAGAGUCUCACCGAGCAAUGGCCAAAUGUCGGUUGCACCCAGAAACGCCCGCUGAACCCUGUUGUUGCCGGUGCCCGGAGACUGUGGCCAUGUACUAGCCCACCCCAGAAAAUUUCAUGAGAUAGUGUAGCAGCAGCGUUUCAGGGAUUAUGGAAAAAUCACAACACACAUCUGGCACCAGUCUUCACUCUUAAUGACCUUGCCCCGGCACCAGCAAAUGUGGCCACCUUCUGGGUCUGCUGGGACACGGUGGCUUUACCAGUCUCUACCAAAUGUCCUUCCAUCAGUGGAACCGUUUUUCCCCUUGUGGCCUGAGAAUCUCCCGGACCCUACUCUGUUCCUGGGAAUCACCCUUCCCACCAGAGCACCACCAGACAAUUUGGGCAUGUGAGACCGUCUACCCUAUGAGAUCAUGAUCUACGUGGAGGCAAGGCCUAUGUCUUGGUGACUGUCAUAGUUCCUGAAAGAUAGGUUUUCCAACAGAAAGGCAGAGCAUGGAGGCCUCACCAUUAAAAGAAGAACCAGGAAUCCUGUGGGCUUCAUGUAAUAAAAAAGCUUGAAGAUUUUUUCUAGAUAUGUCUCCUAUAGCAAGGGAAAUAAAAGCAAAAAUAAACUA
Herpailurus yagouaroundi (jaguarundi) is the source of this 850-nucleotide long non-coding RNA. RefSeq lists it as uncharacterized. The record is from RefSeq and is a predicted model, not a curated record. The transcript is spliced from 3 exons. Lineage: Eukaryota; Metazoa; Chordata; Mammalia; Carnivora; Felidae.